This 439-nucleotide ribosomal RNA is filed under the name uncultured bacterium. RNAcentral describes it as "partial 16S ribosomal RNA". It matches the Rfam family "Bacterial small subunit ribosomal RNA", at positions 338 to 794 of the family's 1533-position model. The record is from RNAcentral.
CCUACGGGAGGCAGCAGUGGGGAAUAUUGCACAAUGGGGGAAACCCUGAUGCAGCGACGCCGCGUGAGUGAAGAAGUAUCUCGGUACGUAAAGCUCUAUCAGCAGGAAAGAAAAUGACGGUACCUGACUAAGAAGCCCCGGCAAACUACGUGCCAGCAGCCGCGGUAAUACGUAGGGGGCAAGCGUUAUCCGGAUUUACUGGGUGUAAAGGGAGCGUAGACGGCGCUGCAAGUCAGGAGUGAAAGCCCAUGGCUUAACCAUGGUACUGCUCUGGAAACUGUAGAGCUUGAGUGCGGGAGGGGCAGGCGGAAGUCCUAGUGUAGCGGUGAAAUGCGUAGAUAUGAGGAGGAACACCGGCGGCGAAGGCGGCCUGCUGGACCGUAACUGACGUGGGGGCUCGAAAGCGUGGGGAGCAAACAGGAUUAGAUACCCGAGUAGU